Molecule: ribosomal RNA, 480 nt
Filed under: uncultured bacterium
Lineage: Bacteria
Description: bacterial SSU rRNA
Rfam family: Bacterial small subunit ribosomal RNA
Source: RNAcentral
AAGAUCGGCCCGCGUCUGAUUAGCUUGUUGGUGAGGUAACGGCUCACCAAGGCGACGAUCAGUAGCNGGUCUGAGAGGAUGAUCAGCCACAUUGGGACUGAGACACGGCCCAAACUCCUACGGGAGGCAGCAGUGGGGAAUAUUGGACAAUGGGCGCAAGCCUGAUCCAGCCAUGCCGCGUGAGUGAUGAAGGCCCUAGGGUUGUAAAGCUCUUUUGUGCGGGAAGAUAAUGACGGUACCGCAAGAAUAAGCCCCGGCUAACUUCGUGCCAGCAGCCGCGGUAAUACGAAGGGGGCUAGCGUUGCUCGGAAUUACUGGGCGUAAAGGGUGCGUAGGCGGGUCUUUAAGUCAGAGGUGAAAUCCUGGAGCUCAACUCCAGAACUGCCUUUGAUACUGAGGAUCUUGAGUUCGGGAGAGGUGAGUGGAACUGCGAGUGUAGAGGUGAAAUUCGUAGAUAUUCGCAAGAACACCAGUGGCGAA